This 452-nucleotide ribosomal RNA is filed under the name Burkholderia cepacia. RNAcentral describes it as "bacterial SSU rRNA". It matches the Rfam family "Bacterial small subunit ribosomal RNA", at positions 30 to 473 of the family's 1533-position model. Lineage: Bacteria; Pseudomonadati; Pseudomonadota; Betaproteobacteria; Burkholderiales; Burkholderiaceae. The record is from RNAcentral.
AUUGAACGCUGGCGGCAUGCCUUACACAUGCAAGUCGAACGGCAGCACGGGUGCUUGCACCUGGUGGCGAGUGGCGAACGGGUGAGUAAUACAUCGGAACAUGUCCUGUAGUGGGGGAUAGCCCGGCGAAAGCCGGAUUAAUACCGCAUACGAUCCAYGGAUGAAAGCGGGGGACCUUCGGGCCUCGCGCUAUAGGGUUGGCCGAUGGCUGAUUAGCUAGUUGGUGGGGUAAAGGCCUACCAAGGCGACGAUCAGUAGCUGGUCUGAGAGGACGACCAGCCACACUGGGACUGAGACACGGCCCAGACUCCUACGGGAGGCAGCAGUGGGGAAUUUUGGACAAUGGGCGAAAGCCUGAUCCAGCAAUGCCGCGUGUGUGAAGAAGGCCUUCGGGUUGUAAAGCACUUUUGUCCGGAAAGAAAUCCUUGGCUCUAAUACAGUCGGGGGAUGAC